RNAcentral lists this unclassified non-coding RNA (1452 nucleotides) under Leishmania donovani. RNAcentral describes it as "gene:LdHU3.18.2090(CDS-product:hypothetical_prote in_conserved)". The record is from RNAcentral. Lineage: Eukaryota; Euglenozoa; Kinetoplastea; Trypanosomatida; Trypanosomatidae.
CAAGUACCUUCUUUCAUUCUAUGCCACACUACACCGACGCUCUGCACGGCAACUCUUGCGCAGCCUCGCACCAUUUUCUCUACAACGGAGACGAGAAAGAGGCAUCAUAAUAAUUCCAUGACCGCCGCCAUGGACCCCGACGCACCGUCGGUGCUCACGAGCGAGGUGUACAACGCUGCCGAGGUAAUCUUCAAUAUGUUGCAGAACAAGGAGAAGCUUGUGUCUUUCCUCGACUGCACAACUCUUCUUCGUGGCAUGGGGAUGAACCCGACUCACGAAGACAUGGACAAGCUGAAGGAACUCAUGGCACAGCCCAUCCUCCGACUAGAACAGUGGCGCCGAGAGGAGGAGCUGAAGCGCGAAAAAGAGCGGCGCAAAGAGGAAGCGCGCGAGCGGAAGGGCAAGGCUCGCGCGAGCGUCGCCCUUGGGAGGAAGUCGAUCGUGAAGAAGGUCACUGACCCAGCAGCUGAGGCAGCACCCGUGGACAUCACACCUGCUGAGGAGAUUAAGAACAUCGACUGGAACAUCUUUAUCAGGUGCACGGAGAUGAUUUUUCGAGAUCGUAUGCGCGAGGAGCGCGCGGUGCUAGAGGCACUGAAAGUUUUCGCCGGAGACUCGUCCGCAAUCAUGUCGCGCGACAGGCUCAUCGAAAUUGUCACCACCAACGGCGACAAUGUGUUCACCCCGACAGAGGUAAAGAUGUUAGUUGCGAUGCUUCCGGAGAGCUGCCCGGUAAAGGAGUGGGCAAGGCGCAUUGAGGGUACAUACGUGGCUCCCACGCAGGAGGAGAUCGACGCCGCUGCCAUGCGCGAAAUCGAAGCACGCCGCCAACAGGGAGCAGCAGAGAAGCAGGAGACGGAGAAGGAUCCGUUGGAGGGAUUGUGAGGCAAGCAGAUCUUUUUGUUUACCUUUCCAUUGCUUGCCUGGUAGAACCCGGCUAGCACUACGCCUAACUCCUGGCAUCGGUGACAUCACCACCUCCUGAACCUCCCAACACUUCCCCGCGCUUCUCCCCCCGCUGCCAUGAGAUCCGUGGCAAAGGAAAGUCAACGAAAAGGAGAGAGCCCUCGGAUGUACAGUUUUCCUUCACACCAUGUCCUUGCAAUCUCGACUGUAGAUACCCUUCUGUGCUACAGCAUGCUGUGACAUACAUGCGCUCGAGUGAGCCCCUGCGCGCGUGGGUCGCCGACACCGCUGCUCAACACUCACCCACUCUCUCUCCAUGAGUGUUACUCCCACCCGUUCCCAUCGCUCAUGAUGACCGUGCAUUCAUUAUAUCGACUCUCGUGUCACUCUGUUGUGGCCACGCGCGCUGCACUCCACUCUCUGCUAUCCCCUUUACCUGCUCGCUAUUUGCUCACCUUCAUCACUUCUCACCACCCGCGCGGGAACACACAUCCACAUGCUCAUUCACGCAUACACGAGACCUCCUGCAACGCGUUCACUAUCAAG